UACGGAGGGUGCAAGCGUUAAUCGGAAUUACUGGGCGUAAAGCGCACGCAGGUGGCUGAGUCAGUCGAUUGUGAAAGCCCUGGGCUUAACCUGGGAAUUGCAGUCGAUACUACUCAGCUAGAGUAUGGGAGAGGGCAGUGGAAUUCCCGGUGUAGCGGUGAAAUUCGUAGAUAUCGGGAGGAACACCGGUGGCGAAGGCGGCGACCUGGGACGAUACUGACGCUGAGGUGCGAAAGCGUGGGGAGCAAACAGG
This 253-nucleotide ribosomal RNA is filed under the name uncultured bacterium. Its description in RNAcentral is "partial 16S ribosomal RNA". It matches the Rfam family "Bacterial small subunit ribosomal RNA", at positions 524 to 776 of the family's 1533-position model. The record is from RNAcentral.